RNAcentral lists this non-coding RNA (236 nucleotides) under Ruminococcus sp. RNAcentral's name for it is "T-box sequence". It matches the Rfam family "T-box leader". Rfam says of the family: Uncharged tRNA acts as the effector for transcription antitermination of genes in the T-box leader family. T-boxes are found upstream of many aminoacyl-tRNA synthetase genes and some amino acid biosynthetic genes usually in Gram-positive bacteria. The record is from RNAcentral. Lineage: Bacteria; Bacillati; Bacillota; Clostridia; Eubacteriales; Oscillospiraceae.
UAUAAACUUAUGAUGAAGAGUAAGUAAAUUCUGUCACUUCAUUUCAGAGAGCUGAUGUUUGGUGAAAAUCAGUAUGAAUUUCAGUUUUGAAUGGACUUCUGAAGGCAAUCCGAAAUUUCAGUAGGUGCGACGUUUGAUUUGCGUUAUAAAAUCAGUGUAUGAAUGUACACAUAAGAGGAUGUUUUUACAUCAAGCAGGGUGGCACCGCAGGAGAUAUAUACGCUCUUGUCCCGGCA